AUGAACGCUGGCGGCGUGCCUAAUACAUGCCAGUCGCGCGAACAGACGAGGAGCUUGCUCCUCUGACGUUAGCGGCGGACGGGUGAGUAACACGUGGAUAACCUACCUAUAAGACUGGGAUAACUUCGGGAAACCGGAGCUAAUACCGGAUAACAUGUUGAACCGCAUGGUUCAACAGUGAAAGACGGUUUUGCUGUCACUUAUAGAUGGAUCCGCGUCGCAUUAGCUAGUUGGUAAGGUAACGGCUUACCAAGGCAACGAUGCGUAGCCGACCUGAGAGGGUGAUCGGCCACACUGGAACUGAGACACGGUCCAGACUCCUACGGGAGGCAGCAGUAGGGAAUCUUCCGCAAUGGGCGAAAGCCUGACGGAGCAACGCCGCGUGAGUGAAGAAGGUCUUCGGAUCGUAAAACUCUGUUAUUAGGGAAGAACAAAUGUGUAAGUAACUAUGCACGUCUUGACGGUACCUAAUCAGAAAGCCACGGCUAACUACGUG
RNAcentral lists this ribosomal RNA (496 nucleotides) under uncultured bacterium. RNAcentral's name for it is "partial 16S ribosomal RNA". It matches the Rfam family "Bacterial small subunit ribosomal RNA", at positions 29 to 507 of the family's 1533-position model. The record is from RNAcentral.